AAUACAAAUUAAUAUACCAGAUAGAUGAAUAUUAAAGACUAAAAGAGAGGGGGAGAAGCAGAAGACAGUGUAUGUGUAGUAUACAUGUGGAGGUGCUCAUUUAUUGCUGACAAAGGAGGAGGGGGUUGAAGAGAGAAAUGAUAAUAAUAAUAAUAAGAAGAAGAAGAAGAAGAAGAAUACCAAAAAUAAUAAAUUCAAAGGCAUAAAAAUAAGAUAAAAAAAAGAAGUGAAAACAUGAAAUGGAUAAAUAAAAUGAGAACUGAGGA
Molecule: long non-coding RNA, 266 nt
Filed under: Physcomitrium patens
Lineage: Eukaryota; Viridiplantae; Streptophyta; Bryopsida; Funariales; Funariaceae
Description: long non-coding RNA (PPAT_LNC006515)
Source: RNAcentral